This 1182-nucleotide ribosomal RNA is filed under the name Fusarium fujikuroi. Its description in RNAcentral is "eukaryotic LSU rRNA". It matches the Rfam family "Eukaryotic large subunit ribosomal RNA", at positions 174 to 1384 of the family's 3401-position model. Lineage: Eukaryota; Fungi; Ascomycota; Sordariomycetes; Hypocreales; Nectriaceae. The record is from RNAcentral.
UGCCUUCCGAGUUCCCUGGAACGGGACGCCAUAGAGGGUGAGAGCCCCGUCUGGUUGGAUGCCAAAUCUCUGUAAAGUUCCUUCGACGAGUCGAGUAGUUUGGGAAUGCUGCUCUAAAUGGGAGGUAUAUGUCUUCUAAAGCUAAAUACCGGCCAGAGACCGAUAGCGCACAAGUAGAGUGAUCGAAAGAUGAAAAGCACUUUGAAAAGAGAGUUAAAAAGUACGUGAAAUUGUUGAAAGGGAAGCGUUUAUGACCAGACUUGGGCUUGGUUAAUCAUCUGGGGUUCUCCCCAGUGCACUUUUCCAGUCCAGGCCAGCAUCAGUUUUCCCCGGGGGAUAAAGACUUCGGGAAUGUGGCUCUCUUCGGGGAGUGUUAUAGCCCGUUGUGUAAUACCCUGGGGGGGACUGAGGUUCGCGCAUCUGCAAGGAUGCUGGCGUAAUGGUCAUCAACGACCCGUCUUGAAACACGGACCAAGGAGUCGUCUUCGUAUGCGAGUGUUCGGGUGUCAAACCCCUACGCGUAAUGAAAGUGAACGCAGGUGAGAGCUUCGGCGCAUCAUCGACCGAUCCUGAUGUUCUCGGAUGGAUUUGAGUAAGAGCAUACGGGGCCGGACCCGAAAGAAGGUGAACUAUGCCUGUAUAGGGUGAAGCCAGAGGAAACUCUGGUGGAGGCUCGCAGCGGUUCUGACGUGCAAAUCGAUCGUCAAAUAUGGGCAUGGGGGCGAAAGACUAAUCGAACCUUCUAGUAGCUGGUUUCCGCCGAAGUUUCCCUCAGGAUAGCAGUGUUGAACUCAGUUUUAUGAGGUAAAGCGAAUGAUUAGGGACUCGGGGGCGCUAUUUAGCCUUCAUCCAUUCUCAAACUUUAAAUAUGUAAGAAGCUCUUGUUGCUUAAUUGAACGUGAGCAUUCGAAUGUAUCAACACUAGUGGGCCAUUUUUGGUAAGCAGAACUGGCGAUGCGGGAUGAACCGAACGCGAGGUUAAGGUGCCAGAGUAGACGCUCAUCAGACACCACAAAAGGUGUUAGUACAUCUUGACAGCAGGACGGUGGCCAUGGAAGUCGGAAUCCGCUAAGGACUGUGUAACAACUCACCUGCCGAAUGUACUAGCCCUGAAAAUGGAUGGCGCUCAAGCGUCUCACCCAUACCUCGCCCUNAGGGUAGAAACGAUGCCCUGAGGAGUAG